RNAcentral lists this long non-coding RNA (449 nucleotides) under Medicago truncatula (barrel medic). RNAcentral describes it as "lncRNA gene46701". The record is from RNAcentral. Lineage: Eukaryota; Viridiplantae; Streptophyta; Magnoliopsida; Fabales; Fabaceae.
UCUUAUGUUCUUUAGAAUCGAUAGCGGAUCACUACUAUCAAUUUAUUCAUCUGGCGGGUAUGCCACGAAUUUCAUAUUCUUAUCUUAAGAUUAUUUGGCUUGCUUGUGUAUGGGCAAUAUGGAAAGAGAGAAAUAAUUGUAUCUUCAAAAAUGUGGUUAUUGAUCCGUACAAUAUUGUUGAAAAGGUGAAGCUGAACUCUUUUUUAUGGCUUUCGUCAAACGGUGUACCAUUGCCGUUUGCUCUUCAUGAUUGAUGGAGGCAUCCACUUCUUUGUAUAGGUGCUGGUUGGGUGUUAAAUUUUUUCUUUUUUCUUUUUAAUUGGUGUGACAUGUUUCUGUGUCACUCACCUAGUUUUUGUAACAGACUUUGAGUGAUUCGUCGCUUUUAGCACACCUUGUGCGGGGUGAAUCACUUUUCCUUUGAGCAAUAUAUUUCAUUUUGAUUUGUU